UGGCGGACCCCUGAGUAACGCGUGAGCAACCUACCUUCUGAUGGGGGAUCACGUCUGGAAACGGACGCUAAUACCGCAUAAACCGAUGUUAUCGCAUGGUGAUAUCGGCAAAGAGAUAUCGUCAGGAGAUGGGCUCGCGUUGGAUUAGAUAGUUGGCGGGGUAACGGCCCACCAAGUCAACGAUCCAUAGCCGGACUGAGAGGUCGGACGGCCACAUUGGAACUGAGAUACGGUCCAGACUCCUACGGGAGGCAGCAGUGGGGAAUAUUGGGCAAUGGGCGAAAGCCUGACCCAGCGACGCCGCGUGAAGGAAGAAGGUCUUCGGAUUGUAAACUUCAGUAGGCAGGGACGAAGAAAGUGACGGUACCUGCAGAGUAAGCCACGGCUAACUACGUGCCAGCAGCCGCGGUAAUACGUAGGUGGCGAGCGUUAUCCGGAUUUACUGGGUGUA
RNAcentral lists this ribosomal RNA (451 nucleotides) under uncultured bacterium. RNAcentral describes it as "bacterial SSU rRNA". It matches the Rfam family "Bacterial small subunit ribosomal RNA", at positions 96 to 562 of the family's 1533-position model. The record is from RNAcentral.